Non-coding RNA from Ailuropoda melanoleuca (giant panda), 83 nucleotides. NCBI's taxonomy places the organism in Eukaryota, Metazoa, Chordata, Mammalia, Carnivora, Ursidae. The record is from Rfam.
GCCUGGGUGGCACAGCGGUUGAGCGUCUGCCUUCAGCUCAGGGCGUGAUCCUUGCGUUAUGGGAUCGAGCCCCAUAUCAGGCU